UAUAAUUAUUGACAUUACAAAA
Molecule: microRNA, 22 nt
Filed under: Callorhinchus milii (elephant shark)
Lineage: Eukaryota; Metazoa; Chordata; Chondrichthyes; Chimaeriformes; Callorhinchidae
Description: eshark_NOVEL_276
Source: RNAcentral